UUUGUUACAAGUCCGAGUACUAAUAUACAUUUAAUUUCCAGAUUAAAUGAUAACUGUAAAGCUGCGUUUAGUAAUAUUGACAGAUUGCUCGCUCGAUGUCAUUAAAAUGUCAGCAAAUGACAUCGAGCGAGCAAUCUCUCAAUAUUACUAAACACAGGUUACGCAAGUAAUCUUAUUUUCAUAAUUUGCGUCCAAAUUAAUAAUAAAUUUGAAUGUAUAUUCAAUGUUUCAAUAUUUAUUCUUUACAUUUAUUCCGGCCUUCCGAUCAACGACUCAAUUGUAGAAUAGCAAGUCAUAUUCAUGUGCGACAUACGACAAAUGACUAACCGACAUCGACAUUGACAUAUGACUGAUUGUAAAACGGGCCUUAGAAUCUUGUCACAUUGGCUACGGUACUAACAUAUGAUGUCAAGAUCAUGACCUUGAGUAACAUUUAAAGGUUUUAAUCAUCAGUCGAACAUCUUAGGAUUGCAACCUAAGAACAUAUACUACUGGAAGCAGAAUUGAGCGCUGAAUGUGAAGUCAACAUCUGUGUGAGAAAGAAAGCUAUAGAGUCCCAGUUGAUUGUAAAGCCCUAAACACAAUGCGAGGCAACAGCAAUAGCGAUAGAAAUAGCGAUAGCAAUAGGAACAGAGGAAUCCAUAUGUUAAUGUACAUACGAGAAUGCAUAUGUUAAUGUACAUAUGAACACGGAAUAAAACAAUAGCGAUAAAUUUUCGAGUUGAAA
This is a long non-coding RNA of Acromyrmex echinatior (Panamanian leafcutter ant), 727 nucleotides long. The record is from RefSeq and is a predicted model, not a curated record. Lineage: Eukaryota; Metazoa; Arthropoda; Insecta; Hymenoptera; Formicidae.